UCUGGGGGUACUUACCUGAUCGCCGUCGUUCCCCCGGCGGUGAUCAGUGUUGCUCUGGUUGUGGGGAGACUGCCUGCAGCCCAGACAGUCUCCCCACACUGAUUUAGGACCCCUGUGGCCAUGUGAUCGCUUAACACAGCGAUCACAUGGUCACAAUAGGUGUCCAUAGUGCUGCCUGCAGGGGGACUGCCUGUGCUGACAGGCAGUCUCCCUGC
Molecule: long non-coding RNA, 215 nt
Filed under: Pelobates cultripes (western spadefoot toad)
Lineage: Eukaryota; Metazoa; Chordata; Amphibia; Anura; Pelobatidae
Source: RNAcentral